GUGGACUGUUCGUAGUAGAAAUUCGGAGUAGGCCAUUUGUAGUAGAAGUUCGGAGUAGACCGUUUGUAGUAGGGGCUCGAAUGAAGUCCGCCUGUAAUAGAAAUUCAAGGCAGAGGUCCGACUCCCGUAGGAGCUCGGACGAAAUCAAAAAGGCGGUCGACCGCUGUAGAAAUAUGGGUGGAGUCGGGUUGCUGUAGAAAUCUGUCCUUGGGGAAGUUCGACCGUGGACGAAGUCUGGGAAGUUCGGAUUAGAACCUAUCACGGUCGGAAGAGAUCUGGAAGAGGUCCGGAGAACAAUUGAUCAUUGUAGAAGGUCAGUAGAUAGCGAAGUCUGAAGAGCAUUUGAAGCAGUCUGGUGGACGACUGAAGAAGUUCGUCGUUGGAGAAGUCCGGAAGGGUGUUAUCAUAGCUCAGACAGUUGGGAGAGUUUAGAAAAGCGUCGCACCAAGUCGGAAAUUCGGCUGCCGGAGAAAUCUGGAAAAGAUGCCGCACAAAGUCGGAGGGAUCUUGGGAGAGUUGGCUUCUUAUGAACUUCGGCUGGGGGUAUUUUAUACCCAACAUUACGUAUUCUAUACACCUGCCAUAAACGUGUGGAAGUUUUAAUACAAGAGCUUUUUAAUUCCUUUUUUAUAUUGUAAGGAUACCUAUGUUUAUGUGCAUCAAUGUAUGUUUUUGCAUCAUCCAGAAAAGUAGAAAUUGCAGAAAACUUCAAGCAGACUUCUAGAGAAAAUUCUAAUAACACAUUGGGACACCAGAUAAUUUUUUCUGCCAAAAGUGCGAGAAGAGGAAAAGAUUUGCAAAUUCAAUCUUUAAAUUAUAGUCACCAACAAAAUAUAGGGCACCCAAUACCUCGAGAUGAACAAAAGGAUAAGGUGUAGCUUCACCACUUAGCCGACUCUGAUGCAGUGCCUGUCAUUUAAUGAGGAUCACACAAGUUAGAAAACUAAUGGCCAUUUUUGGGUGUCAAGAAGAAAAGAUAUUAUUGGAGUUGUUGAAAU
Molecule: long non-coding RNA, 998 nt
Filed under: Elaeis guineensis (African oil palm)
Lineage: Eukaryota; Viridiplantae; Streptophyta; Magnoliopsida; Arecales; Arecaceae
Description: long non-coding RNA (EGUI_LNC075896)
Source: RNAcentral